This is a long non-coding RNA of Choloepus didactylus (southern two-toed sloth), 149 nucleotides long. RefSeq lists it as uncharacterized. Lineage: Eukaryota; Metazoa; Chordata; Mammalia; Pilosa; Megalonychidae. The transcript has 3 exons. The record is from RefSeq and is a predicted model, not a curated record.
UUUGCCUUUCUUUAAGAAAAAAAGCUUUCUCAAUCCCAUGAUGCUGGGUCCAGGCUCAUUCCUGGGAGUCAUGUCCCAUGUUGCCAGCGAGAUUUACACCCUAGGAGUGAUGUCCCAUGUAGUGGGGAGGGAAUUGCUCAUAGCAGGGG